CUACGGGUCGCUCCAGUGGGGAAUAUUGGACAAUGGGGGAAACCCUGAUCCAGCAAUGCCGCGUGUGUGAAGAAGGCCUGCGGGUUGUAAAGCACUUUCGGUUGGGAGGACUGCUUCUAGCACUAAUAUUGUUGGAAGUUGACGUUACCUUCAGAAGAAGCACCGGCUAACUCCGUGCCAGCAGCCGCGGUAAUACGGAGGGUGCAUGCGUUAAUCGGAAUUACUGGGCGUAAAGCGCGCGUAGGCGGCUAGAUCAGUCGGGUGUGAAAGCCCCGGGCUUAACCUGGGAACUGCAUCCGAUACUGUCGAGCUUGAGUACAGGAGAGGAGAGUGGAAUUCCACAUGUAGCGGUGAAAUGCGUAGAUAUGUGGAGGAACACCAAUGGCGAAGGCAGCUCUCUGGCCUGAUACUGACGCUGAGGUGCGAAAGCGUGGGGAGCAAACAGGAUUAGAUACCCGAGUAGUC
RNAcentral lists this ribosomal RNA (465 nucleotides) under uncultured bacterium. RNAcentral describes it as "partial 16S ribosomal RNA". It matches the Rfam family "Bacterial small subunit ribosomal RNA", at positions 339 to 795 of the family's 1533-position model. The record is from RNAcentral.